Molecule: unclassified non-coding RNA, 337 nt
Filed under: soil metagenome
Description: partial contains 5.8S ribosomal RNA, internal transcribed spacer 2, and large subunit ribosomal RNA
Rfam family: 5.8S ribosomal RNA (bases 1-120)
Source: RNAcentral
GAUGAAGAACGUAGCGAAAUGCGAUAAGUAAUGUGAAUUGCAGAAUUCAGUGAAUCAUCGAAUCUUUGAACGCACAUUGCGCCCCUUGGUAUUCCGGGGGGCAUGCCUGUUCGAGCGUCAUUUCAACCCUCAAGCUCUGCUUGGUAUUGGGCUCCGUCCUCCUCGGACGCGCCUCAAAGACCUCGGCGGUGGCGUCUUGCCUCAAGCGUAGUAGAAACACCUCGCUUUGGAGUGCAUGGCGUCGCCCGACGGACGAAACCUUUUGUAUUGUCUCAAAGGUUGACCUCGGAUCAGGUAGGGAUACCCGCUGAACUUAAGCAUAUCAAUAAGCGGAGGA